CCUACGGGAGGCAGCAGUGAGGAAUAUUGGUCAAUGGGCGGGAGCCUGAACCAGCCAAGCCGCGUGAGGGAAGAAGGUACAGCGUAUCGUAAACCUCUUUUGUCAGGGAACAAAGGCGGGGACUAGUCCCCGGAUGAGGGUACCUGAAGAAAAAGCAUCGGCUAACUCCGUGCCAGCAGCCGCGGUAAUUCGGAGGAUGCGAGUGUUAUCCGGAUUUAUUGGGUUUAAAGGGUGCGCAGGGGGCGGGUUAAGUCAGCGGUAAAAGCCCGGGGCCAAAGCCCGGCGAGCCGUUGAUACUGGCGGGCUGGAGUGGGAGAGAAGUAGGCGGAAUGCGCGGUGUAGCGGUGAAAUGCUUAGAUAUCGCGCAGAACCCCGAUUGCGAAGGCAGCGUACGGGCUCCACACUGACGCUGAGGCACGAAAGCGUGGGUAUCGAACAGGAUUAGAUACCCGGGUAGUC
This 459-nucleotide ribosomal RNA is filed under the name uncultured bacterium. Its description in RNAcentral is "partial 16S ribosomal RNA". It matches the Rfam family "Bacterial small subunit ribosomal RNA", at positions 338 to 795 of the family's 1533-position model. The record is from RNAcentral.